UAUUAUUUCCAUGCAGUCUCUUUCUUAACAAUUAGUGAUAGAAAUUUUAUGUAGGUUCCACAUCUGUUUCCAUUUGCUUCUGUGAAAUGGACAGGAAAUGAUAUGUACACAUUCAUUGACAAGAGUUGGGGCCCAAAGAAGGAGACCAUUUGGCUUUGUACAUUUCUCUUAAAUUUCUAGAGUCUAAAAUAUAAAAAUAAUAGAUAAAAAUUGGUGAAUAUUUUUUAUUUAUUAUUAUACAUAUCUAAUAUUUAAGAUUUAGGUAAUUAAUAGUAUAAUUAGGGAAACAUUUCAAGGAAUCAAACAACUCCCCAAACAACCCCAACACUGGUCAGAUUCAAAAUUUGAACUUGCAGACAUUACAAGAAAAGUUGUCUUAUUUAUCUUGACCAAAAUAUGAAUUUUACCAUGGAUGUAGAGUUGUAGCCUAAAAAGAGCCAAAGUGUUCUAUUAACAUUUAAAAGUGCAGAUGUAUUAUUCUGAUGACAUAACUAUUGGAUUUGUGAAGAUUGAUGUUUUCAUAUAUUUUGGAUUAAAUCUUCUGAACUGCAUGGUGAAACAAAAGAAAAUUGUUUUCUGAUGGGACUGAAGAAUGGACACAUUCAACAUGUUCAAUCAGGCUUGGAGCAUCAUACGAAAGAAAUGGAAAGUUGUCCACUAGGUCAUCAACCAUCUGCCGAAGCCAAGAAAGGAACACAAGACAAGAUAGAAGUCAGAUAGCAAUAAUGACCUUUGAAUAUUUUUCAAAAAUGUUUAACUUUACAUUAAAACAUAGUCUAAUUUUAAUAGUUUUUAUUUUUUUUGAUCUAUUUUGCUAGCAAUAUAUGGCAAUGAAAUUUUAACGGUGAAGCUUUAUUUUGAAAGUAAUGAGGUUAAUUCAAUCUGAUGAGAACUCCUGCAGAUAUUUACUUUCCCAGUGUCCUAUUUUGAAAAGGACAAAGGACAAGAAUAUGUUAUUAAACUAAACAGAACUAUAUAAGGUAAUAUUGCAGGUCUGCUUGUCCAUUUGUGAGUGAAUACCAGAGUAAUGCCAUAGAUGCCAUACUUUCCAUGGCAAUAUGUAAUUGUUGCCAUCAUUUUCAUGGCAACCUGCCAUAGAUGCCAUACUUUUCAUAGAGGCCAUGCCAACCUGCCAUUGAUGCCAUUCUUUCCAUGGAAAUCAUGGCAAUUUGCCAUCGAUGCCAUGAUUUCCAUCCUUUUAUGAUUUAAUGGCAACGAUGGAAA
Long non-coding RNA from Mytilus trossulus (common blue mussel), 1224 nucleotides. RefSeq lists it as uncharacterized. The transcript has 3 exons. The record is from RefSeq and is a predicted model, not a curated record. Lineage: Eukaryota; Metazoa; Mollusca; Bivalvia; Mytilida; Mytilidae.